Long non-coding RNA from Felis catus (domestic cat), 481 nucleotides. RefSeq lists it as uncharacterized. The transcript has 2 exons. The record is from RefSeq and is a predicted model, not a curated record. Lineage: Eukaryota; Metazoa; Chordata; Mammalia; Carnivora; Felidae.
CCGGGGCGGGCGGGCGGCCGGGAAGCUAGAGCCCGUUCGGGGAGGUGCUGCAGGCGCCGAACCCCGAGGUUUCUCCUGUUUCUGUUGUUCACGCUGGCUCUCUCGCUUCUUAGGACGAACCGACACCGCCCUGCCACACCCGAACCAGACCGGCUUGUCUGGUGGGAUGUCGCCCCACACUGGCCUCCAUCCCAGGCUUCCCCAAACUAAUGGGAGGACGUGAGCCCUUCUGGCCAAGCAGGUGCGAGGAGAGACGUAACUUCUGUGAAAACCCUUCGUGAACAGUGCAGCGGCUUCCACAUCCAAGUUCCCGUCCUUGAAAUGGAGCCAGCAGAGCCAGCCCUACCUAAUCUUUGGGGCUGUCCUGAGCUGAGAAAGUAAUACAUUGUGUACGAAAAACUGCUUUGACGGGGGACAAAAAGUUCUGUGUUCUUGUAAGAUGUCAAUGACUUGAGAGCCGAAUUAAAUGCUUUGCAGUAAA